This 428-nucleotide ribosomal RNA is filed under the name uncultured bacterium. RNAcentral's name for it is "bacterial SSU rRNA". It matches the Rfam family "Bacterial small subunit ribosomal RNA", at positions 355 to 775 of the family's 1533-position model. The record is from RNAcentral.
UGGGGAAUUUUGGACAAUGGGCGCAAGCCUGAUCCAGCAAUGCCGCGUGCAGGAAGAAGGCCUUCGGGUUGUAAACUGCUUUUGUACGGAACGAAACGGUCUGCUUUAAUACAGCGGGCUAAUGACGGUACCGUAAGAAUAAGCACCGGCUAACUACGUGCCAGCAGCCGCGGUAAUACGUAGGGUGCGAGCGUUAAUCGGAAUUACUGGGCGUAAAGCGUGCGCAGGCGGUUAUAUAAGACAGUUGUGAAAUCCCCGGGCUCAACCUGGGAAUUGCAUCUGUGACUGUAUAGCUAGAGUACGGUAGAGGGGGAUGGAAUUCCGCGUGUAGCAGUGAAAUGCGUAGAUAUGCGGAGGAACACCGAUGGCGAAGGCAAUCCCCUGGACCUGUACUGACGCUCAUGCACGAAAGCGUGGGGAGCAAACAG